RNAcentral lists this ribosomal RNA (292 nucleotides) under uncultured bacterium. RNAcentral describes it as "partial 16S ribosomal RNA". It matches the Rfam family "Bacterial small subunit ribosomal RNA", at positions 505 to 796 of the family's 1533-position model. The record is from RNAcentral.
GUGCCAGCCGCCGCGGUAAUACGUAGGGUGCGAGCGUUAAUCGGAUUUACUGGGCGUAAAGCAUGCGCAGGCGGCGGUUCAAGUCAGGUGUGAAAUCCCCGAGCUUAACUUGGGAAUUGCGCUUGAAACUAGAUCGCUAGAGUACGGCAGAGGGGGGUAGAAUUCCACGUGUAGCAGUGAAAUGCGUAGAGAUGUGGAGGAACACCGAUGGCGAAGGCAGCCCCCUGGGCCUGUACUGACGCUCAUGCAUGAAAGCGUGGGGAGCAAACAGGAUUAGAAACCCUCGUAGUCC